GGGAAGGUGGCUCAGUGGUAGAGCGCUUGUCUUGCAUGCAUGAGGCCCUGGGUUCGAUUCCUCAGCUCCA
This 70-nucleotide transfer RNA is filed under the name Dipodomys ordii (Ord's kangaroo rat). It matches the Rfam family "tRNA". From Rfam's summary of the family: Transfer RNA (tRNA) molecules are approximately 80 nucleotides in length. Their secondary structure includes four short double-helical elements and three loops (D, anti-codon, and T loops). Further hydrogen bonds mediate the characteristic L-shaped molecular structure. tRNAs have two regions of fundamental functional importance: the anti-codon, which is responsible for specific mRNA codon recognition, and the 3' end, to which the tRNAs corresponding amino acid is attached (by aminoacyl-tRNA synthetases). tRNAs cope with the degeneracy of the genetic code in two manners: having more than one tRNA (with a specific anti-codon) for a particular amino acid; and 'wobble' base-pairing, i.e. permitting non-standard base-pairing at the 3rd anti-codon position. Lineage: Eukaryota; Metazoa; Chordata; Mammalia; Rodentia; Heteromyidae. The record is from Rfam by way of RNAcentral.